Molecule: ribosomal RNA, 631 nt
Filed under: Mucor sp. UTHSC 03-1044
Lineage: Eukaryota; Fungi; Mucoromycota; Mucoromycetes; Mucorales; Mucoraceae
Description: eukaryotic LSU rRNA
Rfam family: Eukaryotic large subunit ribosomal RNA
Source: RNAcentral
UGAUUUCCCUAGUAACGGCGAGUGAAGAGGAAAGAGCUCAAAGUUGGAAACUGUUUGGCUUAGCUAAACCGUAUUGUAAACUGUAGAAACAUUUUCCUGGCACACCAGAUUAAUAAGUCCUUUGGAACAAGGCAUCAUGGAGGGUGAGAAUCCCGUCUUUGAUCUGAGUAGUUGUCUUUUGUGAUAUGUUUUCAAAGAGUCAGGUUGUUUGGGAAUGCAGCCUAAAUUGGGUGGUAAAUCUCACCUAAAGCUAAAUAUUUGCGAGAGACCGAUAGCGAACAAGUACCGUGAGGGAAAGAUGAAAAGAACUUUGAAAAGAGAGUUAAACAGUAUGUGAAAUUGUUAAAAGGGAACCGUUUGGAGCCAGACUGGUUUGCUUGUAAUCAACCUAGAAUUCGUUUUGGGUGCACUUGCAGGCUAUACCUGCCAACAACAGUUUGAUUUGGAGGAAAAAAUUAAUAGGAAUGUAGCCUCUCGAGGUGUAUAGCCUACUAUCAUACUCUGGAUUGGACUGAGGAACGCAGCGAUGCCUUAGGCAGAUUGCUGGGUGCUUUCGCUAAUAAAUGUUAGAAUUUCUGCUUCGGGUGGUGCUAAUGUUUAAAGGAGGAACACAUCUAGUAUAUUUUUUAUU